AGAGAGAGACAUGCGCGCAUAUCAAUAAGCGGAGGAAAAGAAACUAACAAGGAUUCCCUUAGUAACGGCGAGUGAAGCGGGAAGAGCUCAAAUUUGAAAUCUUCAAGGUUUUACCUUGACGAAUUGUAGUUUAAAGAAGUGUUUUCUGCUGAAGUUUUGGUAAAAGUUCUUUGGAAUAGGACAUCAUAGAGGGUGAGAAUCCCGUAUUUGACCAUUAUUUUCAGCUUUGUGAUACACUUUCAAAGAGUCGGAUUGUUUGGGAAUGCAGGUCCAAAAUGGGUGGUAAAUUUCAUCUAAAGCUAAUAUAUUGGCGAGAGACCGAUAGCGAACAAGUACCGUGAGGGAAAGAUGAAAAGAACUUUGAAAAGAGAGUUAAACAGUACGUGAAAUUGUCAAAAGGGAAGCGUUUGACACCAGUGUUGUUUUCUCUCGAAAAUCAAUUAAAAAUGGCUCGAUUUUGUAUUGCUUGAGACCUUAAAAGCUCACUGUACAUUUUUCGUGUCUUUUUUAAUGCACUUUUCGUUUAACAAGUCAACAUCAGUUUCUUUUGUUGUAAAAGGGUCAUUGGAAGGUGGCUUUCUUUUCGGAGAAAGUGUUUAUAGCCUUUGGCCUCUGCAAUCGAAGAGACUGAGGUCUGCAGCGUAGACUCUUCGGGGUUAGAUACAUUUGUGCUAAGUUAUAGCCUUUCAUAGACAACUUGUUGACUAUGAUCAGUCAUCGUAGCUUACUCGCUUAUGCUAUUUUACCUACGCUUAGGAUGUUGAAGAUGUAGCACAUCAU
This 780-nucleotide ribosomal RNA is filed under the name uncultured Neocallimastigales. Its description in RNAcentral is "partial large subunit ribosomal RNA". It matches the Rfam family "Eukaryotic large subunit ribosomal RNA", at positions 23 to 620 of the family's 3401-position model. The record is from RNAcentral. Lineage: Eukaryota; Fungi; Neocallimastigomycota; Neocallimastigomycetes; Neocallimastigales.